AAGUCGUAACAAGGUUUCCGUAGGUGAACCUGCGGGAAGGGAAUUUUAACCUAGGAGUUGUAGCUUUGCCUGUCCAUGAUCUCUUACCCAGUGUCGUUUUGAGUACCUUCGUUUCCUCGGCGGGUUCGCCCGCCGAUUGGACAAUUUAAACCAUUUGCAGUUGCAAUCAGCGUCUGAAAAAACAUAAUAGUUACAA
Molecule: unclassified non-coding RNA, 196 nt
Filed under: plant metagenome
Description: partial contains small subunit ribosomal RNA and internal transcribed spacer 1
Source: RNAcentral